AUGAACGCUGGCGGCGUGCCUAAUACAUGCAAGUCGAGCGAACAGACGAGGAGCUUGCUCCUCUGACGUUAGCGGCGGACGGGUGAGUAACACGUGGAUAACCUACCUAUAAGACUGGGAUAACUUCGGGAAACCGGAGCUAAUACCGGAUAAUAUAUUGAACCGCAUGGUUCAAUAGUGAAAGACGGUUUUGCUGCCACUUAUAGAUGGAUCCGCGCCGCAUUAGCUAGUUGGUAAGGUAACGGCUUACCAAGGCAACGAUGCGUAGCCGACCUGAGAGGGUGAUCGGCCAGACUGGAACUGAGACACGGUCCAGACUCCUACGGGAGGCAGCAGUAGGGAAUCUUCCGCAAUGGGCGAAAGCCUGACGGAGCAACGCCGCGUGAGUGAUGAAGGUCUUCGGAUCGUAAAACUCUGUUAUUAGGGAAGAACAAAUGUGUAAGUAACUAUGCACGUCUUGACGGUACCUAAUCAGAAAGCCACGGCUAACUACGUG
Molecule: ribosomal RNA, 496 nt
Filed under: uncultured bacterium
Lineage: Bacteria
Description: partial 16S ribosomal RNA
Rfam family: Bacterial small subunit ribosomal RNA
Source: RNAcentral